GCGGGAGUAACUCAGUUGGUAGAGUACGACCUUCCCAAGGUCGGAGUCGCGAGUUCGAGUCUCGUCUCCCGCUCCA
Molecule: transfer RNA, 76 nt
Filed under: Chloroflexota bacterium
Lineage: Bacteria; Bacillati; Chloroflexota
Also listed under: 4 other names
Description: Chloroflexi bacterium tRNA-Gly
Rfam family: tRNA
About the family: Transfer RNA (tRNA) molecules are approximately 80 nucleotides in length. Their secondary structure includes four short double-helical elements and three loops (D, anti-codon, and T loops).
Source: RNAcentral